Molecule: RNA transcript, 3573 nt
Organism: Eriocheir sinensis (Chinese mitten crab)
Lineage: Eukaryota; Metazoa; Arthropoda; Malacostraca; Decapoda; Varunidae
Exons: 5
Source: RefSeq, a predicted model, not a curated record
UCUAGGUUUUUCCAUAUCUAGUGAGUGGUAACACUGGUCCCAGCCUCGCCGGGCGCCGACCGCCGCGCUGCAGGCAGCCAGACCCUUCCCGUGUGCCUGAUAGUGCGGACAGCGCGUUACCCAGGAGGUAUCAGUGAUCUUCAGGUGCAGGACGAGUCACCAUGUCGCAGUUACACCGUCGACGCCCCUUCGCCCGCCGCCCGCCUGGCCCCUCCUGACGCACCGCCGUCAUCGCAGGACCCCCCUCCCCGCGGCACUCACCCUUUCGGCACACUCACCCCCCUCGGCAGUCACCCCCUCGGCACACUCACCCCCUCGACGCCAGGCCGCCUCGCAGUGCUGAUAAAGCGUAGUGAUUUGUGUUUAUAUACGGUUAUGACUGAUACUGUUAUUGGAGUGUUUUGCCUUCUCAAAAGACGCAUAGGAUGGACACCGACGAGGACACGUGUCUGGCCGCUAUGAAGGUUCACCGCGACUCCGUAGUGGUGCCGCCGGCGCUCAGCUACACCAAGCAGGACCUGUGCUUCGGAAAAUACUUCAAGGCCGUCAACCGGUUAGGGACGCUUGUGCUCAUGAACUGUUUCAAACUCAUUUACCGAACCCUGGAGACAGACGAUGGCACGUUGUCGAUUGAGAACUAUUGUUUAGAUAAAAUUAAUUGGUCCCACACUGCCUACAACAAGUGUUUCAACACAACCGAGAGAAAAACGCUAAGCAAAUCUCCGACUAGUGAUGAUUUUGUGUGUGAUGUUUCGCUCUUGUUUAAGAUAAUAAUGAUAGUGUUGGGAACGCAGGUGGAACCCAUUAGAAAAGAAAUAAGGGAACUAAAGAACCUGAGGAACGCAGUCUGCCACGAGAACCUGGAGAUGGACGACCAGGAGCUUCAGCGGCGACUGCUGAGUUUGAAGGAUGUGUGUCGUGAUAUCCUGGAGGGCACCCAGCUCUUGGUUCACGGACAGUUACGAGCCUCUUUGAACAAAACUAUCACCGAUGUCGAGGCUUACAUGCAGAACCUCUUGAUGGUUAAGCUAGACGCCAGUGACAUAAACUCGUACCUGGAAGACUUGGACGAAUUCCGCCAGAAGAAGACUUCCAAGAUGAUCAGCGAGGGGAGGAAGGAACUUAUGUCCAACUACUCAAAGGACAAGAUCCUUAACCCUUGCCCGUGGCUCACCGACAGUCACUUCUCGGACUUCACCGUGGAAAACACCUUCACCACGAUCAAGCUGCAGGAGAGCGGGACUGUCGUGACCAUGAACGAUAUCCUGAACCUGUCUCAGCUGAAACAGCGGUUCGUGCCUCGGCUGGUGAUCGUUAGCGGCGUGAUGGGCGCGGGCAAGACCUCCCUCUACCGCUACCUUCUCCAACAGUGGUGCAGCCACGCGCCCGCCGUGACGGGCCUCGCUGCUGUAGACAUUGUGAUUGGCCUGGAGAUGAGAUGGCUGACGUGUGGCUCGCUUGUUCAGUUUUUGAGAGAACAACUCCUCAAGGACACUUCCAGACUGUUCAGUGAGAGUGAUAUCAUCCCGGUGCUGCAGGAAAUUAAUGUUCUUUUUAUCAUUGAUGGGAUGGACGAGGCAACGCGUCGCGGGCGGGCCGUGGUGAAAGAAAUUAUCACCAAAUUCACAAACAGCACCAUCCUAGUGACGACACGACCAGAAUAUACCCUUGAACUAAAGAAGAUGGCAGAUGAACAUGUCGUUCUUCACAUCGAAGGCUUCACAUCUGAAAGUCAAGAGAAAUUUGUAGAGAAAGUGUUUGCUGUCAAAUACCCAGACAAGAGACUCUGCAAAAAGGAGACUGUCGCGUUCCUGGCCUACAAGAACAGCCUGUGCGUCUCCCUCAGCAGUCACCUGUCCCUGCCCCUCAACCUCGCCCUCCUGAUGAUGCUGUGGUGCGACGAUUACCUCAAGGCCACCUCCGUCACCACCACCACGCGGCUCUACAACAAGAUAUACGAGAUGUCUCAGCAGAAGCUCACGCAGAGACUGGAGAGCAAAGGGUUCGGUCACAGCGCCUCGCUCAACCUGAAGGUGCGCCGCUGCCUCCUCGAGCUGGGCCGCUUUGCCUGGAACAUGAUGCUCGAGGAGACACUGUGUCUGAGUCAAAAACACUCCAACAGCCUGAUGGAGUUUUGUGAAAAGGAAGGCAUUGAUCCGAUUCAGACGUUGUCUACUUUCCUGGACUCGGAGACGACAGAGACACUGAUGGGCACUGUCUGCAGUUUCUCCUUUCAUCACUGCUCCAGCGAGGAAUACCUGGCGGCCUUGUACAUCAGCGAGGAGGCGGCGAAGACUGGCACUCUCUUUCCUCUGCUACAGGACGUCAAGUCACCAAGAUUCCAAGAGGUUGUUAUGUACACGACAGGCCUCCUGAAGCUGAAAAACCUCAUCACGCCUUCCUUAGCCAAAGAAAUUGAGAAAGUCCUUCGCAGUAUUGAAACUCAGCUCAGCGACCCGCUGGUGCUGUAUAGGCUGGUAAAUGAGGUCGAAUGGGACGCUGCUGUCUGCGAAAUCGUCGGUUCCAUUGUCAAGGAGCAGGGCACUUGGUUAAUAAGCUCAAAGGACCCUCUGGAGCUGACGGAGGCAAAGUUUAGCCUCAUAAAUAAUACAUAUACCGCCCCUUCUCAAAUGAAGAUAGACAUUCAGUACCCGAAGAAACUGGAAGACUGCCCGGAACUAGAAAAUCUUAUUAAAUUGCUGGGGAAGAUGAGUACAAAAUCAGUAAAGAUCUCUAUCGAGCGCCACUUUCACACCGUCGGCGAGCAAGAGCUGGUGGACAAGCUCCUCGUCCCAUUCUUGAGGAACGACAGUUUACUAGAAUUUAUGGGCCACGUGGGCCCCGACUUCACGGCAGAGAUGGUACAAGCCAUUAACCUGGAGGCCCUCAGCGUGAGAAUCACGUCCAUGGAGGCUCUGGUAAAUUUGAGCCGCAGCCUCAGGAAGCACAGACAUCGUAAGACCCUCAUCAUGCCCUCAAGGAAGUGGUCUCUCCAGCACUUGGAGGUGUUCUUAGAUAUCAGCGACAAAUCAAUAAAUCCGUCAGACAUUCCACGCUUGCAUUACCGAAAAGGACUGGUGCUCAAGAUGGCGGGGGUGAGGGACGAGGACGCCAAGUGGGCCGGGCAAGUGGUGCAGAGGAUUAAUGAUCAGUACGCCUCCGUCACUCUGGUAUCGUCCCACAUAACCCCAACGGGAAUCGGCCGCUUCGUGAAGGCGACAAGCAAGUUGAGGAUAAAGGUGAUGCGAGUUAUGUCCGAUAAGCUGGACCCGAAUGAGCAAAUCAGCAAGUUCCCCGUCAAACGUGGCACCAAGGUGCAGCUCGGGGCGCUCUGAGGCGAAGAGGCUCCGAGAUGCAUGUUCCGAGACGCUGCCAGUUUGCGAUGUCUCGAUCUCGUGCAGUCACCAACCACACGCUCCAGGAGAGGCUGAUGUUACUCCAGCUCCCCUGCGUUCUGAGGAGCUGAGAGCACACGUUGAUCACACGGAGAAGCUAAACCACCAAUGCUGAAUUACUCCAGAAAGCCACCAACAAAACUGAGAUGAGAUCCUGCAGCACGCCCGUCUGGCCCGG